CACCUACCAAGCAUCUCAUAAAUGCUUCACAAUUUACAAGGUCUGCUCUCUCACACACUUUACAAAGUCAGUUGCUGUCUCUCACACUUCACAAAGCUACUUCAGUGAACUUUUUUUUCAAAGAGAAAAACUGAAAAGGCUCCAACAUUUUUCAAGGAGACAAAUUAAAAAGGCCAAACAAAUAUAUAUAGAGUAAGAAAGAGUAGACUGAAUCAGAAAAAGCAAAGCAAUCCAACCAAAUUCUCUGUUUCUCUUUUGCUCUCUCUCUCUCAUGUAACAAAUCAAAGCUUCUCCUUGUUUUUCUAUCUUUGAAGUUAAAUCUGUGACUAUCUUUGAGAUGUGUGAAGCAAGAUCUUUAGCCCUAAAAGAGGGUUAUUGUCCAGAGAUUGAGGUCAACGUUCGAAGAUUGAUUCACCGUUUCCAGAAGUCCACUGUGAGUAACGUUAUUGUAAAGAUAUGUUCAUAUGCAUUAUGUUCCAAAUUUGAUUUGAUAAUUAUGAUUUCUGAAAUGAUAAUUGUUUACGUGAACGAAUGUCCUAUGUUUGAAAUCUAUUAUGGCAUCCAUAGAUAGUCCCAAGUCAUAGGGGACGGCAUGUUAAUAUGGGUCUAUGACAUAUAUGUGAUUAUAAGAUCUCGUUAGCCACUUGUCAAAGUGGUGAUGUGUUUAAUCGCUAUCCGAAACCAAUUACUCUAGUCGGAUGACGAUGUGAUAUGUUCUAUUGGAUGUACCAUUAUUAUGUUUGGAUAUAAGAAUGAUUAGGUUAUGAUCUGUUUUACGAUUAUGAUAUGUUCAGAAUUCGUUCACUAACCUCUUUACCUUAAUAUUAUUCACUAGGCUAUAGCUCACUAUUUGUAUAUAUAUGUAGGUGAGCAAGUGCAAGAUUAGGCCUGAGGGCUUCUGUCUAGUUCUGUUUUGUCAAGCCAACCAUUACGCCUUACAAGGAGGUUCCUGGAAAGAUGUGUUAUGAUCAAGUCUUAAACUCGUUUUGUCUUUUGUUUAUUUUAUUUACAUGGCUAAGUCCCUUUUUGUUUCAUAUGUAUAUGGUUAGUGUAAGAAUGAUGUUGAUGAUGAUGAUUAUAUGUAUAACGUUUAAAUUUGCUUUGUCCUAUAUAAGUCAGCACAGCUCAUUGGAUGAUUAUAUUAUAUUUAUGUAUUUGCUUUCGCCAGCCCCUUAUUUUGUUAAUCUGUUUCGGAGGCCGUAGGUAAUCCUAGGAUUACUAGACGAUUACAACGCUAAACCUAUAGGAGUGGGUUUGGGUCAUGACAUAAAGGGACCACCCAAUGAGGCUGUUUGGAAUAAUCGUAGGGUCUUUUUAAAUUUUUGAGACUCUUUAUAAUGCCACAAAGAGGUUUUCAGGGUCAUUGUAUAUCACUUCAAAUUGCUUCUAUGAUGAGAUGUUUGUCAUUCAAAACAAAAUUGAGCAGUUAAUGAAGAAAGAUGACACACUUUUAUCUAAUGACAGUUAAUAUGAAACCAAAAUUUGAUAAGUAUUGGGGUGAUGGAGAUAAGAUAAAUCUUCUUUUGUAUGUUGCUGUGGUACUUGACCUUAGGAAAAAAUUGAAGUAUUUAAAUUUUUAUUUCUCACAAAUUCUUAUUGAGAAAGUGGUGAAUGAGAUGAUAGGCAAGGUGAAGGAUUGUUUGACUCGUCUAUACGAGCAUUAUGCUUCACAUGAUUCAAAGAGUGGGCAAGAGCCUAAUGUGAGUGCAACUUCAGAAAUGGAGGUAAAUGAUGAUUGUGAUGAUCCACACAUGCUCAUUGCUCCUCAGUUUAAUUCAUAUUUAGAAGAGGAGUAUUCUGUUGUGUGUAAAUCAAAGAUGGAUACGUACUUUUCUAUUUUCGUAAGGGUUCUAAGGAUGAAAAUUUGGAUAUAUUGGGAUGGUAGAAGUCUAAUUCUUCAAAGUAUAAAGUUUUGUCACAAGUGGCACAUGAUGUUUUGGUAUUACUAGUCUCUACAGUUGCUUUAGAAUCAGCAUUUAGUACAGAAGAACGUACACUCAAUCCUUUUCAUAGUUCGCUUUCUCCCAUGAUGGUCGAGGCCCUUAUAUGCACACAAAAUCGGUUUCAAUCCACUAUUCCAAUUUCUCUUCGAAAGUCCAUGGAUGAUGUUGGACAAUAUGAACAAUAUGAGUCAGGAUAUGAGGAAGCAAAAAGAAUAAUGAGCCAACAACUUCUAGUUUUUGUGAAUAUGUUUCUUGUUUUUAAUUUUUAGUUUAAUGGUGGAAUAGCAGUAGUAAUGAAGUUUAACAAUGACUUCCUUUUUGUGGCAACAACAAACAUGGUUUUGAGAUGUAAUUAUAUUUUUCAGAUAUGUGUGUGCAUUGUGCAACAUAGAAGUUUUUGAGGGGUAUGUUUGCACUGUGCAACAUAGAAGUUUUGGGGGGAUGUACAUGCUAAAUACUGUUAGUUUGGUUUUUCUAGCAACUUGUGCAGAUUACAUGAACAAUGUGGUGUACUUAAUUGCUUAGGUUUAUUUUAUUAUAAGAUGUUUUGGAGGGUUAUUUUAUUACAGAAACAAUGUAAUCCCUAAACUGUUUUGGAAAGUUAUUUUAUUAAUUUUAAUUUUUAAUGUUAUGUUUUUAU
This is a non-coding RNA of Camellia sinensis, 2583 nucleotides long. Lineage: Eukaryota; Viridiplantae; Streptophyta; Magnoliopsida; Ericales; Theaceae. The record is from RefSeq and is a predicted model, not a curated record.